CCGAUCAACNCCGCGUGAGCGAUGAAGGCNUNNCGGGUCGUAAANCUCUGUUGUUAGAGGAAGAAACAAGUGACGAAGAGUAACUGNCUCGUACCUUGACGGUACCUAACCAGAAAGCCACGGCUAACUACGUGCCAGCAGCCNCGGUAAUACGGGGGGGGGCAAGCGUUGUUCGGAAUUACUGGGCGUAAAGGGCUCGUAGGUGGCCAACUAAGUCAGACGUGAAAUCCCCAGGCUCAACUUGGGAACUGCGUCUGAUACUGGAUGGCUUGAAUUCGGGAGAGGGAUGCAGAAUUCCAGGUGUAGCGGUGAAAUGCGUAGAUAUCUGGAGGAAUACCGGUGGCGAAGGCGGCAUCCUGGACCGAGAUUGACACUGAGGAGCGAAAGCCAGGGGAGCAAACGGGAUUAGAUACCCCGGUAGUCCUGGCCCUAAACGAUGAAUGCUUGUGUGUGACGGGUAUCGAUCCCUGUCGUGCCGAAGCUAACGCANNAAGCAUUCC
RNAcentral lists this ribosomal RNA (500 nucleotides) under uncultured bacterium. RNAcentral's name for it is "bacterial SSU rRNA". It matches the Rfam family "Bacterial small subunit ribosomal RNA", at positions 387 to 870 of the family's 1533-position model. The record is from RNAcentral.